UCUGCCCUUCCACGGGCCUCCUGCCCUGACCCUGUCACCCUCGUCCCGGGCUACAUACGGCGUGACUGACGCAUGCUGGGCCGGCACUGAACAGGACAGCUGAAUGCUGGAGAACACACGGAGUUCAAUUUGUGCUGUUUGUGCACUCAGGAGUGUGGAGCCAUCCAUGGGAGCAUAGUCAACUAACCAGAGGCCACAUCCUUAAAAAAAAAGAGAAAAAGCAUGAAUGUGCCCCUUGAAAAAGCCAUUAACGCCAACAGCUCCUCAGCAAGGGGUUGGGGCUCAUGAUCCCAUUGGCUCCGUGCUGGGAUUUUGACCGGAGUGAUCAUGGGAAGGUGCUGUGUAGGAACCACAGCUGCUGUGAGUUCCUGAACACAGUGUUCCGGAAGAUACCGUUCCUUCUCAGUCUUCCCAGACCUCCGACCUCUACAGUCUCCCCUCUCCUCCUCGAUGCUCCCUGAGCCUUGUCGUGAAGGCCUUGUGUGAUACAGUUGUCUCACUCACAGGUGAGCACGCCGCGGGCAGCCAUCUGACAAAUGGAUUCUACAAAUCUACAAAAGUGGAUUCUACCAAUUCUACAAAAGGCCAUUACCAUCUGAACCAAAAAUUGGGGGUACACCAAAUAAGAAAAAUACACUGAAUUGUGUACAAAAUCCUAUGAAGACUGCCAAAUUAAUAAGAAUGUUUUGUUGUUGUUGUUAACAAACUUUUUUUUCCUUAAGCUUCAUAACUCAGAUCUCUUUGGGGAGUUAAGGACAGAUGGGUGCCUGCAGGGCUGUGUUGUGGGGAUGAACUAUGAGACUGUUUACACUGAUUCCAUGCCUUUCUGAAAAAGCAUGCCUUCUAAAUUGGAUCUGUUUCCCCAUAAAAACACCCAACUGUUUCCUUUGGAAUAAUAAAGAAAAAUAUAUCAUUGUUAAAAUAUUAUACAGAAUGCGGAGAAUGCCUUUUAGAAAGACUGUUUACUCCAGUAGAAAUCAUUAGGAUGAUAUUUUGUUUGUUUUAGUUUUUCCAGAAAGGGUUUGUCCACGUAGCUCUGGAUGUCCUAGAACUCGCUCUGUAGACCAGGCUAGUCUUGAAUUCAGACAUUCUCAGGCCUCUGCCUUCCGAGUGCUGGGAUUACACGCGUGUGCCACCGUAUCCUGUGGCUGUUAUUUUUUUAACACCAGGGUCUUUUGUGUAAAUAAGAUAGUUGAGCACCUUUAUUCAUUAAGCAAUGUUGUUCUUCAGGGAAGUUUGGUACUUUUUCUACUUGUGUUGAAGGGAUUUUUUUUUAACCUAAAAAAGUAUUCUAGCUCGAGUGAUUCAGGGAGGAGUGGCAUUACUGCUUGCUGGUGACAGUUGCUAAUGUUUAUUGGAUACGUGUUGUUGCCAGGGAUUGUCACAGACAAUUUCCCAUCAUCAUUUUGUUCAAUCCUCGUGAACCCUAUAUGCCAGAUGGCACUGCUGUCACUGUUUUACAGAUUAGGAUACAACUUUUGAGAGCUAUAAAUUACCUCCUGAGGUAGUGUAAGAGGUGGGAUUUGAACACAGCAUACUGUUGCUGCUCUCUUAAAAUACAGUAUGGUGAGGGAUGCUUGAAGA
Psammomys obesus (fat sand rat) is the source of this 1584-nucleotide long non-coding RNA. RefSeq lists it as uncharacterized. Lineage: Eukaryota; Metazoa; Chordata; Mammalia; Rodentia; Muridae. The transcript is spliced from 3 exons. The record is from RefSeq and is a predicted model, not a curated record.